Long non-coding RNA from Myotis brandtii (Brandt's bat), 233 nucleotides. RefSeq lists it as uncharacterized. The transcript has 2 exons. The record is from RefSeq and is a predicted model, not a curated record. NCBI's taxonomy places the organism in Eukaryota, Metazoa, Chordata, Mammalia, Chiroptera, Vespertilionidae.
AGAGAAAAAGUAUUUGAAAAUCCAUUUUCUUACCCUCUACUGAGACCACUGAAGAUACAGAAUAGGCUGAUUUGGUUGAAUCAUAUGAAUUGACCUACAAAACUCACCAAAUCCUUGUGAUGACAUUUUUCACUUGCCUAAUGCUGUGUAUUUUGUUAAUCUUUUUCUAUAAAAAGCUGUUCUUCUCUUGCUAGAGUAUAUUCUGCAUAUCAAAAGUAAAGACAUUGAUUAUG